AUUGAACGCUGGCGGCAGGCCUAACACAUGCAAGUCGAGCGAGCGGCGGACGGGUGAGUAAUGUCUGGGAAACUGCCUGAUGGAGGGGGAUAACUACUGGAAACGGUAGCUAAUACCGCAUACCAUCAGAUGUGCCCAGGUGGGAUUAGCUAGUAGGUGGGGUAACGGCUCACCUAGGCGACGAUCCCUAGCUGGUCUGAGAGGAUGACCAUCCACACUGAAACUGAGACACGGUCCAGGCUCCUACGGGCGGCGGCAGUGGGGAAUAUUGCACAAUGGGCGCAAGCGUGAUGCCGACGUGCCGCGUGUGUGAAGAAGGCCUUCGGGUUGUAAAGCAGUUUCAGCGGGGAGGCGUUACCGGAAGAAGAAGCACCGGCUAACUCCGUGCCAGCAGCCGCGGUAAUU
RNAcentral lists this ribosomal RNA (405 nucleotides) under uncultured bacterium. RNAcentral describes it as "partial 16S ribosomal RNA". It matches the Rfam family "Bacterial small subunit ribosomal RNA", at positions 30 to 525 of the family's 1533-position model. The record is from RNAcentral.